GUAGUCGAUGGGAAACAGGUUAAUAUUCCUGUACUUGGUGUUACUGCGAAGGGGGGACGGAGAAGGCUAUGUUGGCCGGGCGACGGUUGUCCCGGUUUAAGCGUGUAGGCUGGUUUUCCAGGCAAAUCCGGAAAAUCAAGGCUGAGGCGUGAUGACGAGGCACUACGGUGCUGAAGCAACAAAUGCCCUGCUUCCAGGAAAAGCCUCUAAGCAUCAGGUAACAUCAAAUCGUACCCCAAACCGACACAGGUGGUCAGGUAGAGAAUACCAAGGCGCUUGAGAGAACUCGGGUGAAGGAACUAGGCAAAAUGGUGCCGUAACUUCGGGAGAAGGCACGCUGAUAUGUAGGUGAAGCGACUUGCUCGUGGAGCUGAAAUCAGUCGAAGAUACCAGCUGGCUGCAACUGUUUAUUAAAAACACAGCACUGUGCAAACACGAAAGUGGACGUAUACGGUGUGACGCCUGCCCGGUGCCGGAAGGUUAAUUGAUGGGGUUAGCGGUAACGCGAAGCUCUUGAUCGAAGCCCCGGUAAACGGCGGCCGUAACUAUAACGGUCCUAAGGUAGCGAAAUUCCUUGUCGGGUAAGUUCCGACCUGCACGAAUGGCGUAAUGAUGGCCAGGCUGUCUCCACCCGAGACUCAGUGAAAUUGAACUCGCUGUGAAGAUGCAGUGUACCCGCGGCAAGACGGAAAGACCCCGUGAACCUUUACUAUAGCUUGACACUGAACAUUGAGCCUUGAUGUGUAGGAUAGGUGGGAGGCUUUGAAGUGUGGACGCCAGUCUGCAUGGAGCCGACCUUGAAAUACCACCCUUUAAUGUUUGAUGUUCUAACGUUGGCCCGUAAUCCGGGUUGCGGACAGUGUCUGGUGGGUAGUUUGACUGGGGCGGUCUCCUCCUAAAGAGUAACGGAGGAGCACGAAGGUUGGCUAAUCCUGGUCGGACAUCAGGAGGUUAGUGCAAUGGCAUAAGCCAGCUUGACUGCGAGCGUGACGGCGCGAGCAGGUGCGAAAGCAGGUCAUAGUGAUCCGGUGGUUCUGAAUGGAAGGGCCAUCGCUCAACGGAUAAAAGGUACUCCGGGGAUAACAGGCUGAUACCGCCCAAGAGUUCAUAUCGACGGCGGUGUUUGGCACCUCGAUGUCGGCUCAUCACAUCCUGGGGCUGAAGUAGGUCCCAAGGGUAUGGCUGUUCGCCAUUUAAAGUGGUACGCGAGCUGGGUUUAGAACGUCGUGAGACAGUUCGGUCCCUAUCUGCCGUGGGCGCUGGAGAACUGAGGGGGGCUGCUCCUAGUACGAGAGGACCGGAGUGGACGCAUCACUGGUGUUCGGGUUGUCAUGCCAAUGGCACUGCCCGGUAGCUAAAUGCGGAAGAGAUAAGUGCUGAAAGCAUCUAAGCACGAAACUUGCCCCGA
This 1408-nucleotide ribosomal RNA is filed under the name Escherichia coli. RNAcentral's name for it is "partial 23S ribosomal RNA". It matches the Rfam family "Bacterial large subunit ribosomal RNA", at positions 1411 to 2802 of the family's 2925-position model. The record is from RNAcentral. Lineage: Bacteria; Pseudomonadati; Pseudomonadota; Gammaproteobacteria; Enterobacterales; Enterobacteriaceae.